Molecule: ribosomal RNA, 285 nt
Filed under: uncultured Thermotogae bacterium
Lineage: Bacteria; Thermotogati; Thermotogota; Thermotogae
Description: partial 16S ribosomal RNA
Rfam family: Bacterial small subunit ribosomal RNA
Source: RNAcentral
CGCUGGCGGCGUGCCUAACACAUGCAAGUCGAACGGUUCUAAGCGCGAGCUUAGGAUAGUGGCGAACGGGUGAGUAAAAGGUAGGAAUCUACCCCCUUGGACGGAGAUAGCUACUGGAAACGGUAGGUAAACUUCGAUAAGCCCGAGAGGGGAAAGUGGUGAGACAGCCGAGGGAUGAGCCUACUCUCCAUCAGGUAGUUGGUGAGAUAAAAGCUUACCAAGCCGAUGACGGAUAACCGGUGUGAGAGCAUGAACGGUCACAAGGGCACUGAGAGACGGGCCCUA